Small nuclear RNA from Cebus imitator (Panamanian white-faced capuchin), 103 nucleotides. NCBI's taxonomy places the organism in Eukaryota, Metazoa, Chordata, Mammalia, Primates, Cebidae. The record is from RefSeq and is a predicted model, not a curated record.
UUGCUUCAGCAGCACAUAUACCAAAAUUGGAAUGAUACAGAGAAGAUUUGCAUGGCUCCUGUGCAAGGAUGACACACAAAUUCAUGAAGGGUUCCAUGUUUUU